ACCCCUGUUUCCUCUUUAAUUUUUUUCGCCACAAAACCCGUUGAGCCCAAGUCUACCCUUUUCCAUCCUGUCAGUUUGAGUGGUGAAUAUAAAUUUGUUUUUGUUUUGCUCUGGUUUUGCUUUUGUCCAUUUUGUCAGUAAAAACAAAAACAACCGCUUUUUACGGGAAAAAUAUUGCAAGAAUGUUUGCAUCUUUAUAUUAAUUAUUUAUCGUCGUUAUCUAGUGCCAGUGAACCUAGUGAACUGUUCGCGCUUUGUCUCAAGAAAACCAUCCAAAUUCCGGAAGAAGGUUUAAUUAGCUCCCUGCAGCUGCGAUGAUCCAACGGAACCAACUUCCCUCUCCGUUCAGUGUUAUUCUUCUGCUGAAGUCAACCAAAUUUGCUGUGCCAAGUGGGGUCCUCGCUCGAUCGGCCUCGGCACGGAACCUCGUCGAUACUCUCCGUGAUCUCAUACGAAUUGGUCAAGAAAUGACAAGGGAACACAUCUUCGUUGCAACGUUUCUACCUCAUUUUCGGCAAAGCCUACGGUUAUCAACACUGAUCACCGCAAAUCCGUGCAUUUUUUGGCCUUCGUGGAAUCGAAGAGGUGCCCAAAUCGGACAGUACACUCCCGUUUAUAUGGUGAAGACAUUCCCGUCACCCGGCUGCCUGGUAUUGUCCGGAACUGCCAACAGCUGCAGCCGCAUGAUUGAUGCCCGUACCUUCAGCAACUGCAACGAAUAGCGUGUUAACAUUGCACCAGUAGGUACGGUAAGAUCCAGUCUCCAAGCGUUGAAGCCCAGGGAUAGUCGUCUGUGCCCUGCCGGGACAAUAUAUUGCAAUUAACUUCAUGAUCAGCAGCAUAAAUCAUAAAAAUCAAGGAAAAAAUAACUGAACGCUGUACAAGGAAUGUCCAACAAACGACCUGUUCCUGCUUUAUUAAUAAUACCUCUGGUGAAUUCUCCUGAUCCAUUAGGUCCUGAUCUUUACUACUUUUUCCUGAAUCCUUUUGAUGCUAAUAUGCAUACGUCAGCAGGCCACCUAGUAUAAACAACUGUAUCUCCUUGCUGCUAAUGGGCCUCAUUGACAACGGCUUUUUGGAAUAAGUUUUUAGACACAGCUCAAUUAGUACAAAACCUUCACAUGUGAGGGUUUAUCUUUAUAAACAGCAGGUCGAUGUUUUCGUGGCUUAGCUUGUACCUGGUAGAAAGUUCUAUUUUCGGUUUCGCUACCGACAACUCUGAUGUGAAUAUGUUUGGUUUAUUGUACAUACUGUAUAUAAUGGAAAGCCCAGGAUUGAUAACAGUCUAUUAAGACUACAGCUGAUCAACCCUAAAAAACGUAAAUAAAAAGAUAAGGUCUUGAUUCAAUUAAUUUUUAUAGUA
This is a long non-coding RNA of Armigeres subalbatus, 1363 nucleotides long. RefSeq lists it as uncharacterized. The record is from RefSeq and is a predicted model, not a curated record. NCBI's taxonomy places the organism in Eukaryota, Metazoa, Arthropoda, Insecta, Diptera, Culicidae. The transcript is spliced from 2 exons.